UUGGGUUUUGUUUACUUCAAGGUCUGAUACAGAAACUGGAGUAAUUUUCAUUUAAUUAAUUAGAGAUUUUUAUUGUUUAUUCGUUUGCCACCCGGCUUUUGUUUUGGGUCCUUUAAAUUCGAGAUCAUUCAGUGCGGCGUUCUUUUUGUAACGAGAUCCUCUUGCAUAGUGAUCGGACGGCCGUAUAAGGGCCUGGAGCCCGGCAUGCCACGUGCUGCCGUGGCGUUCCAUAUUUUGUGUGGUGCGUUCUGUCAGUCUGACUGGCAGAAACAUGCUAAGGGUGGGAGUGCUCCGUGGAGAUCCUCGGUCUGCAGUCUGCAGGUCUUCGGAGUCGGGCAGAAUUACAGAAGUAGAAUUUAACAAGAACUUUUACAAUUUUGAUGUGCAAGGAAACUUUCUUUGGCGUUAC
Leguminivora glycinivorella is the source of this 409-nucleotide long non-coding RNA. RefSeq lists it as uncharacterized. NCBI's taxonomy places the organism in Eukaryota, Metazoa, Arthropoda, Insecta, Lepidoptera, Tortricidae. The transcript has 3 exons. The record is from RefSeq and is a predicted model, not a curated record.